RNAcentral lists this unclassified non-coding RNA (275 nucleotides) under Truncatoporia pyricola. RNAcentral's name for it is "Perenniporia pyricola partial internal transcribed spacer region". The stretch from base 1 to 46 matches the Rfam family "Eukaryotic small subunit ribosomal RNA", at positions 1786 to 1831 of the family's 1831-position model. Lineage: Eukaryota; Fungi; Basidiomycota; Agaricomycetes; Polyporales; Polyporaceae. The record is from RNAcentral.
AAGUCGUAACAAGGUUUCCGUAGGUGAACCUGCGGAAGGAUCAUUAUCGAGUUUUGACUGGGUUGUAGCUGGCCUUCCGAGGCAUGUGCACGCCCUGCUCAUCCACUCUACACCUGUGCACUUACUGUGGGUUUCAGAUGUUAUUAGCGGGGCCUUUACGGGUCUCGUGAAAGCGUCUGUGCCUGCGUUUAUUACAAACUCUUACAAGUAACAGAAUGUGUAUUGCGAUGUAACGCAUUUAAAUACAACUUUCAGCAACGGAUCUCUUGGCUCUC